AGUGAACGCUGGCGGUAGGCCUAACACAUGCAAGUCGAACGGCAGCACAGGAGAGCUUGCUCUCUGGGUGGCGAGUGGCGGACGGGUGAGGAAUACAUCGGAAUCUACUCUGUCGUGGGGGAUAACGUAGGGAAACUUACGCUAAUACCGCAUACGACCUACGGGUGCAAGCAGGGGACCUUCGGGCCUUGCGCGAUUGAAUGAGCCGAUGUCGGAUUAGCUAGUUGGCGGGGUAAAGGCCCACCAAGGCGACGAUCCGUAGCUGGUCUGAGAGGAUGAUCAGCCACACUGGAACUAAGACACGUUCCAGACUCCUACGGGAGGCAGCAGUGGGGAAUAUUGGACAAUGGGCGCAAGCCUGAUCCAGCCAUACCGCGUGGGUGAAGAAGGCCUUCGGGUUGUAAAGCCCUUUUGUUGGGAAAGAAAUCCAGCUGGCUAAUACCCGGUUGGGAUGACGGUACCCAAAGAAUAAGCACCGGCUAACUUCGUGCCAGCAGCCGCCGUAA
RNAcentral lists this ribosomal RNA (506 nucleotides) under uncultured bacterium. RNAcentral's name for it is "partial 16S ribosomal RNA". It matches the Rfam family "Bacterial small subunit ribosomal RNA", at positions 29 to 523 of the family's 1533-position model. The record is from RNAcentral.